GGUUAAGCGACUAAGCGUACACGGUGGAUGCCCUGGCAGUCAGAGGCGAUGAAGGACGUGCUAAUCUGCGAAAAGCGUCGGUAAGGUGAUAUGAACCGUUACAGCCGGCGAUGUCCGAAUGGGGAAACCCAGUGUGAUUCGUCACACUAUCGUUAACUGAAUACAUAGGUUAACGAGGCGAACCGGGGGAACUGAAACAUCUAAGUACCCCGAGGAAAAGAAAUCAACCGAGAUUCCCCCAGUAGCGGCGAGCGAACGGGGAGCAGCCCAGAGUCUGAAUCAGCUUGUGUGUUAGUGGAACGGUCUGGAAAGUCCGACGGUACAGGGUGAUAGUCCCGUACACCAAAAUGCACAGGCUGUGAACUCGAAGAGUAGGGCGGGACACGUGGUAUCCUGUCUGAAUAUGGGGGGACCAUCCUCCAAGGCUAAAUACUCCUGACUGACCGAUAGUGAACCAGUACCGUGAGGGAAAGGCGAAAAGAACCCCGGCGAGGGGAGUGAAAAAGAACCUGAAACCGUGUACGUACAAGCAGUGGGAGCACCUUCGGGUGUGACUGCGUACCUUUUGUAUAAUGGGUCAGCGACUUAUAUUCUGUAGCAAGGUUAACCGUAUAGGGGAGCCGCAGGGAAACCGAGUCUUAACUGGGCGUUAAGUUGCAGGGUAUAGACCCGAAACCCGGUGAUCUAGCCAUGGGCAGGUUGAAGGUUGGGUAACACUAACUGGAGGACCGAACCGACUAAUGUUGAAAAAUUAGCGGAUGACUUGUGGCUGGGGGUGAAAGGCCAAUCAAACCGGGAGAUAGCUGGUUCUCCCCGAAAGCUAUUUAGGUAGCGCCUCGUGAACUCAUCUUCGGGGGUAGAGCACUGUUUCGGCUAGGGGGUCAUCCCGACUUACCAACCCGAUGCAAACUACGAAUACCGAAGAAUGUUAUCACGGGAGACACACGGCGGGUGCUAACGUCCGUCGUGAAGAGGGAAACAACCCAGACCGCCAGCUAAGGUCCCAAAGUCACAGUUAAGUGGGAAACGAUGUGGGAAGGCACAGACAGCCAGGAUGUUGGCUUAGAAGCAGCCAUCAU
This 1079-nucleotide ribosomal RNA is filed under the name Klebsiella aerogenes. Its description in RNAcentral is "partial 23S ribosomal RNA". It matches the Rfam family "Bacterial large subunit ribosomal RNA", at positions 1 to 1122 of the family's 2925-position model. Lineage: Bacteria; Pseudomonadati; Pseudomonadota; Gammaproteobacteria; Enterobacterales; Enterobacteriaceae. The record is from RNAcentral.